UGGGGAAUAUUGCGCAAUGGGCGAAAGCCUGACGCAGCAACGCCGCGUGAGGGAUGACGGCCUUCGGGUUGUAAACCUCUUUCAAGCAGGGACGAUAAUGACGGUACCUGCAGAAGAAGCUCCGGCCAACUACGUGCCAGCAGCCGCGGUAAUACGUAGGGAGCGAGCGUUGUCCGGAUUCAUUGGGCGUAAAGAGCUCGUAGGCGGCUUGAUAAGUCGGAUGUGAAACCUCCAGGCUCAACCUGGAGUCGCCAUCCGAUACUGUCAUAGCUAGAGUCCGGUAGGGGCCCACGGAACUCCUGGUGUAGCGGUGAAAUGCGCAGAUAUCAGGAAGAACACCAGUGGCGAAGGCGGUGGGCUGGGCCGGUACUGACGCUGAGGAGCGAAAGCGUGGGGAGCGAACAGG
RNAcentral lists this ribosomal RNA (406 nucleotides) under uncultured Acidimicrobiia bacterium. RNAcentral's name for it is "bacterial SSU rRNA". It matches the Rfam family "Bacterial small subunit ribosomal RNA", at positions 355 to 776 of the family's 1533-position model. Lineage: Bacteria; Bacillati; Actinomycetota; Acidimicrobiia. The record is from RNAcentral.